UUCUACUCAAAACUUGUAAAAUUUUCCUGAUUCUUGAUGUUCCAUAUCUUCUAGCUUAUUCCUUCCUUCCACCUCCACUCUCCACUUUUAUUCCUCUAUAAAUUCUAGAGAUGACCAGACCUCCUGCUUCUCUAAGAUCUAUGUUGAGCCUUUGUAUUUAACAUCUCAAAACAUCUGCCAACAUUUUCAUCCUUCUCUCCAGCCUCUGAUUAUACGUAUGCCUCUCUCCCUCCAAAGUGAGCUUUUGACUUCUACCUUCUGUUGAACCCAGGAGAGACCCCCUUUCCUCCAUUCCUCUCGCAUCCUUUCUAUUUCUUUUUCUCCCCUGGCUCCUCCCCACCUGCCUUUAAACAUACCCAGAUCCCCUCAUUUUGAAAAACCUCUCAUUUUUCACUUUGUUCCUUGCCCACCUCUAGCUGCUUCCCUCUGCUCCAUUCACUAUCAAAGCUCUAAAAACAUCAUCACACAGGUUCUACCUGUAUUUCCACAUCACUGAACUGUUCCACGAUUCCAUGACCUUUUGCUUCCAACCCAAGCAUUCAAUGGAAAGAAUUACUCUUAAAGUUCACCAGCAGUUUGUUUAUUGACACAUUCUUCAGCCUUUAGUCCUAAUUCUUCUUGAUUUCGUUGCUUCUUUCAACACCGAUGGCCACUGUCCACCCUACCAACACCAGCAACUUAUUUACCUCUUUUCGUCUUAGUCUAGUAUUCUUUCUCUCAGAACUGGGGUCCAGUCCUGAGUGCUGAUAAACCUGACGGCGAGCACUCCUGGCUACCCCUGUCACCUGACCCAACAGCUCCCAUUUGACAGCGAGAGGCGUAGGGAUGAGCAGGUGGGCCGUUUCUGAUCCAGGGUAAAGGGGAGACCUCUUAGGAGCUCAGGGAAACAUUUUACUUCCUGUAAGAGAGAGGACCAAGGAGAAAAGCACUUUUUCCUGCCCAUCCCUUUUUCCUUGGGAUGUUGUCACAUGAGAACAUGAAGUCCUGAGCUGUGCCACCUUGUCACCAAGAAGGAAGGUCAACAGAAGAGCAUGGAAGCCAAGACUGUUUCUGGCAUCAAGGAAAGCUUCCAAGUCAAUGCUAUCCUAGAUGUUUCCACUCGGAUUCUCACACCAUGAGCUUAAAGCGGCGUGUUCAAAUCCACCCUGAUCAGUUUCCCCCUAAAGUCUUCAGUCACCUUCAUAAAGACUAAGAAGCCCUUUGAGCUUUAUUAGAAGAAUGUGCAUCUCCAACCAGCUAGUUGUGGUGGGGGAUGGGGCCAAUGUGCAGACACGACAGACAGAAUUCAAUGUUCCUGUCUUAAUGAGGCUUAUCUCUGGGUGUGCUAGGUAUUUCACAAUGGAUUUGGGUAUAAAGGUGUGGAUGACGCACAGAAUACCCAGCAGGAAGUGGCCAAAGAUAACGCUGAAAUGAAGACCAUCAGGAGGCCACGAGAGAUGCCUUCCUAAAGAGCAAGGCUUUGGUAGUGUAGAUCGUAUCAGAUUUUAAGCGGUGGAACAGCAUGAUCAGAUUUACAUUUUGCAGAAAUAGCUUCAGCAACAGCAUGAAGAAUGGAUCAGAAGAUGAAAGCCUGAGAUACCGGAGCUCUCAAGGCAGUUAACUGAGCCAAGCAGCAGUUGCCAAGAUCCCUUCUUAGCUGAGGUAGCCCUGCCAACGACGGAGCAAAGCACGGUGAAAACCCCCACCGACACGGGACGCCUCCGCCAGGCACUCCUGACUCCGGAGCUCUCUGAGGGGCUCAGAGACCGUCAGAGCUGCCUUGCAGUCAGAUGGCCCCCUCUGCCCAGGAAAUCUUGUGCACUUAGCCUCUGCAUCCCAGAGAACCCAGCUGACACCACAUACAUGAGUUAACGCCUAUUAUUUGAUUUGGUUAAAUAAGCAUUUAAUAAACAUUAAAAAGGUGA
Long non-coding RNA from Bubalus bubalis (water buffalo), 1904 nucleotides. RefSeq lists it as uncharacterized. The transcript has 2 exons. NCBI's taxonomy places the organism in Eukaryota, Metazoa, Chordata, Mammalia, Artiodactyla, Bovidae. The record is from RefSeq and is a predicted model, not a curated record.